This 509-nucleotide ribosomal RNA is filed under the name uncultured organism. RNAcentral describes it as "SSU rRNA". It matches the Rfam family "Bacterial small subunit ribosomal RNA", at positions 1 to 509 of the family's 1533-position model. The record is from RNAcentral.
GUAGUUUGACUCCGUGGCUACGAGGACGAACGCUGGCGGCGUGCCUAACACAUGCAAGUCGAACGAGAAUUUACUAAUUGAUUUCUUCGGAAUGAUUUUGGUAAAGGAAAGUGGCGGACGGGCGAGUAACGCGUGAGUAACCUGCCCAUAAGAGGGGGAUAAUCCUUGGAAACGGGGACUAAUACCGCAUAUUGUAGCUUUACCGCAUGGUUUAGUUAUGAAAGAUUUAUCGCUUAUGGAUGGACUCGCGUAAGAUUAGAUAGUUGGUGAGGUAACGGCUCACCAAGUCGACGAUCUUUAGCCGAACUGAGAGGUUGAUCGGCCGCAUUGGGACUGAGACACGGCCCAGACUCCUACGGGAGGCAGCAGUGGGGAAUAUUGCGCAAUGGGGGCAACCCUGACGCAGCAACGCCGCGUGCAGGAAGACGGUCUUCGGAUUGUAAACUGUUGUCGCAAGGGAAGAAACAAAUGACGGUACCUUGUGAGAAAGUCACGGCUAACUACGUGCC